Parasteatoda tepidariorum (common house spider) is the source of this 386-nucleotide long non-coding RNA. RefSeq lists it as uncharacterized. NCBI's taxonomy places the organism in Eukaryota, Metazoa, Arthropoda, Arachnida, Araneae, Theridiidae. The record is from RefSeq and is a predicted model, not a curated record.
GCUGCCACCAGUGAGGCGUUCGAGCGAGUAACUGUAACUGUAAAUUCAUUGUUUGCAGGGAGAUGCACGAUGGACAGCGAUAGUUGCCGACAUUGAUCUUGUGUUAAAGAUUCUUUUAAUUUUCAAAAAAGCUCUUUAAAUGUUGGUAAACCAGUGCCAGUCCUCCAUGAAUUUCUGAUUUUGAAAAAUGUCAAGCAUUGAUUGGUGCAGUUGUUUUAUUGAAGUUUUUCAGAACUCUUCUAUGCUAUUCCAAGUUAUUCUAUGUAGACAAAGAUGUUUAUUUCUCUGUUGUUUUUAUUAUUUUUUAAAAUUAAAUGCGAAAUAUAAAUAGAAAUUUGUGUAAUAUCUGUAUUGUUUAUGGAUUUGUCUUUGUAUAAUAAAAUAUA